Molecule: long non-coding RNA, 6524 nt
Filed under: Malus domestica (apple)
Lineage: Eukaryota; Viridiplantae; Streptophyta; Magnoliopsida; Rosales; Rosaceae
Description: long non-coding RNA (MDOM_LNC020955)
Source: RNAcentral
AUUGAACCCUAUAAAUUUGAAUGAAAAAAGAAAAUAAAACAUUGUUAUUAUAAACAGAAAAACUUGUUUACGCAACCUUUUUUUUCCCUUUCAUUGUUUCCUGACAAUUUUGGUGGAAGUCUUUAGCUUUUGUACACGUCAGAAUUUUAAGAUUAAUCAAAUUCCAAAUUAGAUUUUCCUUUUUUACUUAACAAACUCAUUUAUCUAUGACGUGUUUACCAAAUGGAGUUGGAGGGGAAGAACGAAAUUGCACUCUUCCCAAAGCAUGUGCUUUCCAACGUUUACUAGCAUUUAGAGAAUCAGAAAACAGGUGGGGUCCACCCAAUAUCAAUAAUUGUCUAACUGAAAAAAAAAAUUGAAAUUCUACCAUAAAACCAAUAUAUUUAAGAUCUUGUAUAUCUAUAUAAUCAGUAAUUGUCUGACCGAAGCAACCUUAUGAAGGUCCUCGACAUUUUACGUUGUUCCAAAGUCAAUUUGAUUUUGCAUAUCAACUAACAAACAUAGAUUAUCCUAAUCUCUAAUAAUACAUAUUCCUUAUCAGCUAACAAACAUAGGUAAUCCUAAUCUCUAAUAAUCUCACGUGCAUAACAAAAGCCAACCAAGUGUAUAGCUCUCUGUAGAACUUACUUGCUGGCCUUGUAGAAUUGGACAAUACAACUCACGAGCCACGACUUAAACAUGGACAUGUGUCCUUUCAUGGGUUAGCUUUUAGUUUUAUCUAGAUGGAUUGGAAAAGACGUGCAAUUUGAAAAUUCCACCUUCAAUUCCUAGCUUGCGCUAUAUAAAUAGUAGUGACCUCUUAAUUUUCAUGCAUCGAUCUCAUCUGCAAUUAUCAUUGUUGUAUUAUUUUCUCCACCAUGGAGUCACCGAUAAUUACUAUCAAAGUUAUUUCAUUCUUUUGCUCGUACAUGCUUUUGUCGCACUUGCAUCUCACCACUUUGAACCCUACUGCCUUUGCUUUGGAGGACUGUCAGUUUCCAGCCGUCUUUAACUUUGGGGACUCUAAUUCAGAUACUGGCGGAUUGGCCUCAUCCCUUAUUGCACCAACCCCUCCUUAUGGUGAGACAUUUUUUGGUAUGCCGGCCGGAAGAUUCUCAGAUGGCCGUCUCACAAUCGAUUUCCUCGGUAUGUGUAUUUGUUCUUUAACUACCUUACUUAUUUCAUAGUUUUCUCUUGCUUCUACUUAUUUCUUAUGUGGAUGAAAUUACUUAUUGUUUCCAAACUGUUUCAUUGAUGAUCUUGAAACUUAAAACAGUUUAUCUUGAAACAUCACUAUAUACUUUGUUCUAAAUUAUUAAAUUAGUAUUUCUUUUCUCAUAGAAACGAAAGAUUAUAUACCUUUUUUUUAAUUAAUGUAGGGUUUUUGACUUGGAAUCUCUUAUACACUCUAAGAUUAAAGUUUGGAGAGGUAUUCAUCAAUUUACCUCCUGAACUUGUAAGGAUUGGCCAAUUUCCCCCUUUUACUCUCAUAAUUAGUCAAUUUGCACCCUACUGUUAAUUUUUUUAAUUUUUCAUCUAUUCUUCCGUUAAGUAGGUAUUUGCAUGACUGCCUUUAAAGGACAAAAAAGUCAUUUUCCCUACACCUAUCUUCUUCCUUUUCUUCGAACUUUCUCUUCUUCUUCCUUUUCUCUUUUUAAUUUUUCAUCUAUUCUUCCGUUAAUUAUGAGAGUCGAUGGAAGAAAUUGGCCAAAAUUAAAGUUGAGGGGGGAAAUUGGCCAAUGAUCACAAGUUCAAGGGGGUAAAUUGAUGACUACCUCAAGUUUGGAAGAAGAAAAUCGAACUUCAACCAUGCAUACAUGUAUAAAACGAAUCCAAAAGCAGAAUAUUAUUGUCUGAAACCGUGGAGCCGGUUGCCUUUCUGUUGAAUCCAAAAGCAUAGUUUUCUUGGUGUGGCCCAUGUUAAAAGGAAUCCAUUGAAGUUUUUAUACGCUUCUCAAUUGUUUGUCACUUGCCAUAACUUAACCUUGAUGGGAUGAAAUUUUUUUAGCAUGUAGGUCACAUUAGAACAUAAUAUUAUUAACUCACGUGUUAUAGGAUAAGUGUAUAACAUAAUUUAUAUGUUAUGAAUUUACGAAAUAAUAUUAAUUAAUAAAUGUAAUAAGAAAUAUAUAUCAAUAAUACAAUUUCUUGGUCAUCUUGUGUUCUUUACUUUCUUGCAAAUUCACGGUCAGAUUUAUGUUGUUUUAAGACCCUUCCGGUUUUGUGCAUCAACAUAUUUCAUCUUUCUCAAUGGAUGACCAUGUGAUGCACAAAGUAUACGACACAUCAUAUUCCUUCCUAGGUGUCCAAGACGGUGGUGCCAGAGUUAGAAAAUGCUCAAGUUAAUUUGCUUUAGCAAAAUGACUAGGUUUUCCUCGAUCUUUCAGAUAUUUGUCUUAUAGAGACUCGACGAGAAUGCUUUCAACUUCUCUAAGAUGUGAUUUCGGGUGUAUGAAGUGAAAGUGAUGCAAAGAUAUUCAACACCAUUUUUUUUAAGGUUUGUCAUGCCCUUCUAUCGGUGGUGUCAAGCCACUGAUUGUUGUCAUCGAGGAUUCAGUAGGCGCGAAGUUAAGGAAAUAAACGCAGUUACGUAAAAUAAUGUGUGUGGUAGCACUGUCCUCUAGACAACUGUCCUCUAGACAAUCAACUUCCUAUAACAUACCAAUGAAAAUUAAGUCAAGUCUUUCAAAAAGUUUUCAACUUUAUUAACGUAAAUUAUUCGAGAACAAAAAUUCCAAAAGAAUUAAAACAAUAACCAUGCGGGCUUAAGAAACCAUUAGGUUCCCAUAAUGGCCUAAUAAUCUAAAAAUAAAAGAAAAAUCAUCCAUAUAACAAACGGAAAAUUCCAAGUGGCGGCAUGCCAACAUCCAUUAGUAGUCAUCUAGCUCAAUGAAAUGAAACAAAUAAAGCCAUGUCAUUCGGGAUAGCUUAGGUUCCCAUGUUAUUAUGCUCGACGAGGUUGCUUUCUCUCUGAUGACAAUUGUGAUAACUAUCAACAACAUCAGAAGGUGCACGACAAGUUCAAAUCCAGUGAUUAGUUCCAUUAUAACAGAAGGAAAAUUAGGCUUAUUCUUUGGUUAAGGGCACUACUAAUCUUAUUGAUGUUGUUCCUAGACUUCUUGUGAAAUCUAACCACAAAACUUCAAAAUUGACAGGAUUCGACAGACUUUGGAGACAUACUCGUUGACAGUUUUAAAGUCAUGUGAUAGGAGCAUAUUUAUGCGACUUAGUUAGUUUGUUAUCUUGCAUUUUCAUAGUUUGUUUGUGUUUAUUAUUGUGUUUUAAGCUAUUUCGUGUGUUGUAGGUCAAAAUGACAAAGUUGGCAAGAAAGUGCAAUUUGGAGCAUUUUGAAGCAGUUUUGGGCAUCAAUUGGAUAGCUUAUGAGUGGAGCAAGAUGGAUGGACGAAUUUGAAGUUCAAGAGGCUAGGAAUGUGCUGAAAAGAUGAAGAAAAUAAAUCCAAGACAAAGAAGAUAAGGAAUCAGCUCAAAAGAAGGAACAUUAUCCAAAACCUUAUCCAACCUUAUCUUAUCUAAACUAACCUUAUCUUAUCUUAUCCUAUCCCAAUCUUAUCAUGCCUUAAAUCCAACUGCAAGGGGGACUCUUUAUCACAUUAGAAUGCCUAAUAUCUGAUUCUAGAAGCCCUGAAAUAAUGCAAAUAACCUGAUCCUUCUUCCCCCUAGAAAUCUGACGAAUUUCCUACUCCUUUUCAUCCUUGGAAUCUGAUGAGAAUUGUCCUUGUUCUUUGCUGAUUUGGAGUCCUAAUUCAACCCUUUUUGGCUGUGCCUUUUCUCCCUAUAAAUACAUAUUUUCUGCCACAAUUCAAACAACCACCCUCUACCAUCCAAUCACCACACCAUCCACCACAAUUUCGUGCACCACACAUACAAGAGCCAAAACAUCAGAAAAUACAUACUUGUGCGCAGAUUUGCAAGGAAGAAAGGAGAGGAGACAAUUAGAGUCGUGCCCUGCCAUUCAAGCUUGGAUUGCUAGACAUUCCUAGGUGUAUUUUAUCCUUAGUUUUAGUUCAAUGUUUGUUUUAAUUUGGUUUUAUGUUUUCAAAGACAUGAGGACCUAAUUUCUUUUUAGUUAGAGGUGAAUUCGAAGCCGUGAUUAUAUGCUUUAUAUGAAUUGAUUACAUCCAGUUAUUGUUUCUUGAGUCUUGAAUGUGAUUUGCUUAUCUAAGUUAUUAAAACUUGUUUAUGUAUGUUAAUUAAGGGUCGACACUUAAUUUGCAUGCAUGAAUUUGAUGCUAGAGUAUAAGGGAGUUUCACCUAAUCGUUAUGAACUUAUAUUCACAAGUAGUAGAGGUUGCUAGUCACAAUGGUGUUAAGUAAAUCCUUGGCAAGAGUAUCAUGCUUUUCAUAGUUACGAAUGCCUCGUCAAUGCUUAUGAUUUUCAAAGAACUUAAUGACCUUUGAUAUGUUUUCUAUCAUGCUUUUCAUAGUUAGGGGACUUGAGAAGGAUAAUUUGGUUGUGAUGCGUAUCCUGUCCAAUUCAAUGAAGUAAGGAAAAUUUGAUGGUUAAUUUGUGUUGUCACGGUUAACUUGGGGUGUUGUCAUUCAUGGUUUAAAGGAACAAUAUUGGAAAUUGGUUUAUGUUUGCAUAUGUCAUGUGUGGAGAAGGACCUUUUAACUAGCCUUUCACCCUUUUCAAUUCACCAAAUUCGUCCAGAGUAUUUAGAGUCUUUAAUUUUGUUUUGUUUUACUUUAAAUUCGUCAAAAACCCAAUCCCCUUUACUUUGUUGAGUCAAGUUAGUUAGAAUCUGUCCAAUUUGUGUUUUUAAGUGUUUUUAAGUAUUUUGAGUCAAGUUAAAAUCAAUUUUCGUCUAAUUCACCCUCUAGUGUCUAAUUUUAGUCUAUUUGAUUGUUUUGUGUUGUUUUGAGUCUUUUUAGUUUGUUUUGAGUUCUUUGAGUCUCGCUAAGUGUUUUUAAGUCUAGUUUUGUGUUUUUGAGUCAUAUUUGUGUAGAUUAGCAGCCCUAGUUAAUCCCCAGCCUAGAACGAUCCCUACUUUCAUAGACUACAACUAUCUUAAUAGGGUUUAAUUUGUGUGUUAGAAUAUUUCACAUCAUCAUGGAAGAAGAGAUUGUGCCAAUCGUUUCUUGCUUGAGGAAAGAAUAUUAACUUCUGAUGAUUAAAGCGGUCCACUUAGGCUUCCCAUAAGGACUUCAAGUCAUCCUUAGCCAGAAACCCGGUUUGUAGGGCUUCAGCCAUUCGCUUUCGAAUAAAAAUGAGGGUCUUAGCUUUUUGGGACUCAUUGGCAACAUCAUCUAGGAUUGCGUCUAGCAUCUUCCUUGCCUUGAGGUACAUCUUGACAUCUUGGGCCUACUUGAGGUAGUUAGUGCCAAAGAUAUCAAGUGAACUCUAACUUGUCCAAGUUUGACAUCUUUUAUGCUGGAAAAGAGGUGGAUUAAUACUUCAGAUUUAAUCAAAAUGGCUGUAAAAUCUUUAAAGAUUCGUUUUGCAAGAAAACUUUGAGGUUCUAUUUGGUGAAUAAGAGUUUAAGGGUGUGAGCUUGGACCAAAGAUGUCGACUCAUAGUGAGGCAUGUGUUAGUCGAUCUAAUUAAGCUCAUGUUUUGUUGCUUCUUGACUUAGAAAAUUUCAAAAGUCAAGUGAGCUUGAAACUCAAAAACAAAUUAAUUCAAUUAAUGCUUCUUGAAUGAAUUACUUGGGCUCUUAUUCGAAUAUUCUGCUUGAAUUUGGAAUUGGGCUUCGACUGGAAGUGAAUUGGGUUAUCCACUGGAAAGCAAAAAAUAGCGCAGUCGACUGGAAUGCAGGUUUGUAUCGAUUGGAAUACUAAAUUUGCAUUUGACUGAAUAUGAGUUGGGUUUUUGACUGAAAGACCAAUAUGGGCUUUCGCCUAGAAUGCAUGGGGACACACUUUUGGGAGUCGGGUUAGGUUUACUUCUAGAAGCCAACUAACAACAAAGUUAAUAGGAAUUUGUAGCAAUGGAGAUUGAGGCAUCAUAGGGCUUUGCAAAAUUACAAAAGUAAUAAGAAAAAUAUGAUAAUGGGGUUCAUGCUUCAUGAGAUGUGUAAACACAUAAUUAUGAGUUUGGCAUGAACUUGAAAUCAUGAAACAAAAUAUUUACUUCAACACAAAAAUGAUCCUACUUUAAAAAUUCAGAAAAAAACUGAAAGUUUGUUGCCAAAAGUGAGAAAAACCAAUCUGCAUGUUUUUGCCACGCAAAAUUGGUCGAGAAUAUCUUUAGUAGCGGCUGGACAAAAGUGCAAUAUCAAAGGGCUUUCGCGAUGGUAGGGAAAAGACUGGAGCAACAUGGAUUCUGAGGUGGUUGGAUUCUGCAAGGAAAGAGACUUUUCACCAUGAAUUCAUUUGCUGCAAUAGGAUCUUUGCGACAACCUUGAAGGUUUUCUGAAUUUUUUCUUUUUGCUACUAGUAUGGCUGCAAAAGAAUGUCUAGUGUUUUGGGAGCAUAUUUUCUAGUGGUUUUUUAUUCCGUCAAGUACAAAAGUUUUGAAACCUGUUUUAGUGGACUAACUAAGGGUGGUUUGGUAUGGGAUCCUAAACCUAAAAUAGAUCUCAAAU